UACGUAGGGGGCAAGCGUUGUCCGGAUUUAUUGGGCGUAAAGGGCGUGUAGGCGGCCUGGAAGGUCAGCUGUGAAAACUCGAGGCUCAACCUCGAGACGUCGGUUGAAACCACCUGGCUAGAGUCCGGAAGAGGAGAGUGGAAUUCCCGGUGUAGCGGUGAAAUGCGCAGAUAUCGGGAAGAACACCCGUGGCGAAGGCGGCUCUCUGGGACGGUACUGACGCUGAGACGCGAAAGCGUGGGGAGCGAACAGG
Molecule: ribosomal RNA, 253 nt
Filed under: uncultured bacterium
Lineage: Bacteria
Description: partial 16S ribosomal RNA
Rfam family: Bacterial small subunit ribosomal RNA
Source: RNAcentral